GCCUGGCUGGCUCAGUCAGUAGAGCAUGAGACUCUUGAUCUCGAGGUUGUGAGUUCAAGCCCCAUGUUGGGUG
RNAcentral lists this transfer RNA (73 nucleotides) under Felis catus (domestic cat). It matches the Rfam family "tRNA". Rfam says of the family: Transfer RNA (tRNA) molecules are approximately 80 nucleotides in length. Their secondary structure includes four short double-helical elements and three loops (D, anti-codon, and T loops). Further hydrogen bonds mediate the characteristic L-shaped molecular structure. tRNAs have two regions of fundamental functional importance: the anti-codon, which is responsible for specific mRNA codon recognition, and the 3' end, to which the tRNAs corresponding amino acid is attached (by aminoacyl-tRNA synthetases). tRNAs cope with the degeneracy of the genetic code in two manners: having more than one tRNA (with a specific anti-codon) for a particular amino acid; and 'wobble' base-pairing, i.e. permitting non-standard base-pairing at the 3rd anti-codon position. Lineage: Eukaryota; Metazoa; Chordata; Mammalia; Carnivora; Felidae. The record is from Rfam by way of RNAcentral. RNAcentral also lists the same sequence under 6 other names.